This 534-nucleotide ribosomal RNA is filed under the name Botrytis cinerea. RNAcentral describes it as "eukaryotic LSU rRNA". The stretch from base 179 to 332 matches the Rfam family "5.8S ribosomal RNA". The record is from RNAcentral. Lineage: Eukaryota; Fungi; Ascomycota; Leotiomycetes; Helotiales; Sclerotiniaceae.
UUUCUCUACGUGAACAUGCGGAAGGAUCAUUACAGAGGCCACCCCAAAAAGGGUAGACCUCCCACCCAAGUGUAUUAUUACUUUGUAGCUUAGGCGAGACGCCUUCGGGCCUAGUAUACUCGCCAGAGAAUACCAAAACUCUUUUUAUUAAUGUAGUCCGAGCAAUAUAUAAUAGAAAAACAUUCAACAACGGAUCUCUUGGUUCUGGCAUCGAUGAAGAACGCAACGAAACCCGAAAAGUAAUGGGAAGUGCAGAAUUCAGUGAAUCAUCGAAUCUCUGAACGCACAGCAAGCCCCAUGGUAUUCCGGGGGGCAUGCCUGUCCGAGCGUCAUUUCAACCCACAAGCUUAGCUUGGGAAAGGUCUAUGUCAGUAAUGGCAGGCUCAAAAAACAAAGGAAGAGCCGCUGGGUCCUGAACGUAGUAAUUCUAGCCCUACAGGAGCUGGUGUGCUUCUACAAAAACCCAAACACAAGGGGUGACCUCGAUCAGGCACCCAAACCCGCUAAACUUAAGCAUAUCAAUAAGCGGAGGAA